Molecule: ribosomal RNA, 253 nt
Filed under: uncultured bacterium
Lineage: Bacteria
Description: partial 16S ribosomal RNA
Rfam family: Bacterial small subunit ribosomal RNA
Source: RNAcentral
UACGUAGGGGGCAAGCGUUGUCCGGAAUCAUUGGGCGUAAAGCGCGUGUAGGCGGCUAGGUAAGUCUGCUCUGAAAGCCCGGGGCUCAACCCCGGGAGGCGGGUGGAUACUGUCUAGCUCGAGUCCGGAAGAGGAGUGUGGAAUUCCUGGUGUAGCGGUGAAAUGCGCAGAUAUCAGGAGGAACACCAAUGGCGAAGGCAGCACUCUGGGACGUGACUGACACUGAGGAGCGAAAGCGUGGGGAGCGAACAGG